This 222-nucleotide unclassified non-coding RNA is filed under the name uncultured Pseudotomentella. RNAcentral describes it as "sequence contains ITS2". Lineage: Eukaryota; Fungi; Basidiomycota; Agaricomycetes; Thelephorales; Thelephoraceae. The record is from RNAcentral.
AAUUCUCAACUGCUUCAACUUUUGGGUUGAAGUGAAGUUGGACUUUGGAGGAUAAUUGCUGGCGCAACUUGUGGGUUGCUUGUUGGCACCUCUUGAAUGAAUGAGCGCUUUCCAUGGUGAAGUAAUGCUGAUGUGAUAAUUAUCUACAUUGGAUGUGAACCACCUGUAAGGAAGAGUGUAUGUAACAUCUUGGGGAAAAUGUUCCUUGAGACUGAAUGAUCA